Molecule: ribosomal RNA, 774 nt
Filed under: uncultured Neocallimastigales
Lineage: Eukaryota; Fungi; Neocallimastigomycota; Neocallimastigomycetes; Neocallimastigales
Description: partial large subunit ribosomal RNA
Rfam family: Eukaryotic large subunit ribosomal RNA
Source: RNAcentral
CGCAUCUGUGCAUGCAGCAUAUCAAUAAGCGGAGGAAAAGAAACUAACAAGGGUUCCCCUAGUAACGGCGAGUGAAGCGGGAAGAGCUCAAAUUUGAAAUCUUAAAGGGUUUCCCUUUACGAAUUGUAGUUUAAAGAAGUGUUUUCUGUUGAGGUUUUGGUAAAAGUUCUUUGGAAUAGGACAUCAUAGAGGGUGAGAAUCCCGUAUUUGACCUUUACUUUCAACUUUGUGAUACACUUUCAAAGAGUCGGAUUGUUUGGGAAUGCAGUCCAAAAUGGGUGGUAAAUUUCAUCUAAAGCUAAAUAUUGGCGAGAGACCGAUAGCGAACAAGUACCGUGAGGGAAAGAUGAAAAGAACUUUGAAAAGAGAGUUAAACAGUACGUGAAAUUGUCAAAAGGGAAGCGUUUGACACCAGUGUUGUUUUUCUGAAAAUCAAUUAAAGAACUGUUUAUGCUAAGUUGUUUAGACUUUAUCAGCUAACUGUUUAGUUUUGAGCUUUUCUUUAAUGCACUUUUCAGUUAACAAGUCAACAUCAAUUUCUUUUGCUGUAAAAAAGCUUGAGGAAGGUGGCUUGAGAUUCGUCUUAAGUGUUUAUAGCCUCUUGCCUAUGCAGUCGGAGAGAUUGAGGUCUGCAGCGUAGAUCCUUCGGGGCUAAAUGCAUUUGUGCUAAGUUAUAGCAUUUUAUAGACAACUUGUUGACUAUGAUUUGUCUUGUAGCUUACUCGCUUAUGUUAUUUUACCUACGCUUAGGAUGUUGAGCGCAUGUCUCUCUCU